ACGGGUGAGUAAUGUCUGGGAAACUGCCUGAUGGAGGGGGAUAACUACUGGAAACGGUAGCUAAUACCGCAUAACGUCGCAAGACCAAAGAGGGGGACCUUCGGGCCUCUUGCCAUCAGAUGUGCCCAGAUGGGAUUAGCUAGUAGGUAGGGUAACGGCUCACCUAGGCGACGAUCCCUAGCUGGUCUGAGAGGAUGACCAGCCACACUGGAACUGAGACACGGUCCAGACUCCUACGGGAGGCAGCAGUGGGGAAUAUUGCACAAUGGGCGCAAGCCUGAUGCAGCCAUGCCGCGUGUAUGAAGAAGGCCUUCGGGUUGUAAAGUACUUUCAGCGGGGAGGAAGGUGUUGUGGUUAAUAACCACAGCAAUUGACAUUACCCGCAGAAGAAGCACCGGCUAACUCCGUGCCAGCAGCCGCGGUAAUACGGAGGGUGCAAGCGUUAAUCGGAAUUACUGGGCGUAAAGCGCACGCAGGCGGUCUGUCAAGUCGGAUGUGAAAUCCCCGGGCUCAACCUGGGAACUGCAUUCGAAACUGGCAGGCUAGAGUCUUGUAGAGGGGGGUAGAAUUCCAGGUGUAGC
This 581-nucleotide ribosomal RNA is filed under the name uncultured bacterium. Its description in RNAcentral is "bacterial SSU rRNA". It matches the Rfam family "Bacterial small subunit ribosomal RNA", at positions 102 to 679 of the family's 1533-position model. The record is from RNAcentral.